AGGCUGCAUAAGCCCACAGAAUCCUGCUGAUUGAGGACUGGCUCCAAGUUGAGGCCAAGGCAGUUGUGUGAGGCCUUGGUGGUUGGAGGGAACUGAUGGGUGGAAUGAGAAUGAAGCUUAGAAGUCCAGGUACUGGAGUUAGUAUCUGAUGGGAGUGGUAUAGGGGCUGAUGUUUCCAGGAGAGUGGCAGGGAGGUAUGGUCACCAUUGGUUUAGACCUUGUUGCAUCUAUGCUUGUAAUUGCUUAUAAUAAAUCGGGCCAUGUCAUUUAUACAGCAAGCCCCACUUUCCCAUCCAUAUUAAGUACAUUGAGAGUAAUAGAGCUGGGGUGAAAAUAAUCACAGUUCAAUUGGUUUUAAAUAUGCUAAUGCCGGGGCACCUGGGUGACUCAGUUGGUUCAGGGUCUGGACUCUUUGUUUUGGCUCAGGUCAUGACCUCAUGGUUUCCAAUAUUGAGCCCUGAGUCAGGCUCUAUGCUGGCAGCAUGGAGCUUGCUUGAGAUUCUCUCUCUCCCUCUCUCUGCCCCUCCCCUGCUCCUGCUCUCUCUUUCUCAAAACAAAUAAUUAAACAUUAAAAAAUAUUUUUUAAUAUGCUAAUACCUGUGUUGAAAGCCCAGUGAGAUGAGCAGAUGGGAACACACCUUUGGAGGAUGUGAACAUGAUGUUACAAGGCGGGAUGAUGAGUGAGCGAAACAGACCCUCAAAAGAUCACUAAUAGAAGUAGUUAUGAAGAGUCCAGUAGGAGGGCACCUGGGUAGCUCAGUCGGUUAAGUGUCCGACUUCGGCUCAGGUCAUGAUCUCAUGGUUGGUGGGUUUGAGCCCAGUAUCGGUCUCUGUGCUGACAGCUCAGAGCCUAGAGCCUGCUUCAGAUUCUGUCUCCCUCUCUCUCUGCCCCUCCCCUGCUCAUGCUCUGUUUCUCUGUCUCUCUCUCAAAAAUAAACAAACAUUAAGAGUCAAGUGGAGAUCUAGGAGAAACAGAAUUUGGGACACAUGAAGGAUUUGGUGGCAAGGACAGAAGACUGUAAGGAGAAUGGGAUGCAAAAGAGGGAAGUUCUUUCAGAUGUUUGUCUUGGGCAUAAAGAAGAAACAAGGUAUUAUUUUUCAGAUUGGAAUACUGGAUUUUUGCUCUCAGGAACCAAGAGUUUCCUACUCGUUGAAUAAAUGGGUUUGUGGUUUCAGGGGAGCCCCAUCCGGGAACAAAGAAGUCUUGCUCGGCUUCAUGUUUUAAAUUGGGUUAAAAAAAAAUCCAUACCACGCUAAUAAUCAAUAAUCUUGAGAGCCUGGUUCUUGAGAAGGAAAAGGUUUUCUACUUUUCAAGAAGAUUCCCUUUCUGUAUCUAGAGCAAGGCUUGGGGGUCUGAGCAUAGAGCAAUGCGUUAAGCCAUCAUGCUGAGAAUAGAGUCGUUGACACAAAGGAAGUACCUGUCCUGUAGAAAUAUUCAUCUGGUGCCUAGAGGAGCUUAGAGCAAGACUCAGAAGGGAUGAGAAGGGGGUGAGGCACUGUGUGCCCUGCCCACCAGCCACAGAUGGGGGUGGGGGGGCAAGGUGGUGGAAACAGCUGAGAUGGGGUGACAGGAAGUAGAAAGCAGAUUUGGAUGAGUGGGAGGAGAACCCCUUGUAGGUGUCUAUACAGGGUAUGCAUGGCAGUGGAAAUGCUGGCAGAUUGUGUUUCAGCAGAGGGAGGGCCCGACACCGUGGCCCUUGCUUCUUCUCCAGAACUUCCCAGGUGACGCCUGGGGGUGCAUAAGUUGGCAGACAAUUAAAAGCUAGCAUGCCUGUUGAGGGGUGACUGGGUCAGGGGGACCCCUUGGCAGGGUCUCAGAGUAGACAGAGCUGGCGCCAGAGGGAAGGUGAGGCUGAACCCUGGUGGGGCAGGGGUACCAGGGCAGAGGGAUGGCCAGACUGCCCAGAAGUACUUGUUAGGCAUGGUCUACGUGGAGAGAGCAGGUCGUGAACAUCAGAAACCCAGCUGGACAAGGGGUGGGAGAGGAUGUGGCUUAGGGGUCAGCACAGGGGAAAGGCACUUAAAGGUUUUCAUUCAUAACAAGAGCAAAAUGAGUCUCCAGCAUAUUAAGACCUGUGAAAUAAGGCCGCCUGGGUGGCUCACUCAAUCAAGCAUCCAACUUCAGCUCAGGUCAUGAUCUCACGGUUCGUGGGUUUGAGCCCUGCAUCGGGCUCUGCACUGACAGCUUGGAGCCUGCUUCAGAUUCAGUGUCUCUCUCUGCCCCUUCCCCGUUUGUGCUCUGUCUCUGUCUCGCAAAAAUCAAUAAACAUUAAAAAAAAAAAAAGAUCUGUGGGGGUGCCUGGGUGGCUCAGUUGGUUAAGCAACUGACUGGCUCAGGUCACGAUCUCGCAGUUUGCCAUUCGUGGGUUUGAGCCCCGCGUCGGGCUCUGUGCUGACAGCUCAGAGCCUGGAGCUGCUUCAGAUUCUGUGUCUCCCUCUCUCUCUGCCCCUUCCCUGCUCAUGCUCUGUCUCAAAAACAAAUAAACACUUAAAAGAAAACAACAACAAAAAGUUCUGUGAGAUAAAAUGAAGGGGUUGUAGUCUGGUCCCAUUCUUCUCUGGGCUGGUCAGCUCCCUUCCGGAGCACUGGAGUCGUGCUGGGGUCUCACUGUGAGACUGACCUGUCGAACCAGACCCCGUUCAGACAGUGAGAAACUGCCACAUGAGAGUAGGUAAGAAGAAUCUAGAGCAUGUAGUCUAGAGAAAAACAAUUCAGGAGUGACACACUACUCAAGGUCCUCCACAUUCCUGAGGGCAGACUCAGUGUGUGGACAUUACAGAGAGAGAGAUUUCAGCUUCGAACCCAAAAGAAAUGUUUAAUAAUUCUGAGCGGGCGUUGGCUGAAUCAGGACACAAUGCAUUCUCUGGAGCUGGUGUCUCCACGCAGAAGCCAGGACAUUACUCAGGACUCCCGAAUGGGGCUGAGCACGUGAGCCGCUAAAACUGCGUGUGGGGGAGCUAGCUCCCCAUCUCAUCCCGUCACAUCGUGGAGGAAGGGGCGUCUGCAACAGGGGCCCUAAGGCUGGGGAAGGAGGAGAUGCCUUUUGCUUCUGGAGGACGGGUGCCAUGCUCAGAGCAGCCCAGCCAUGACUCACACAUCCAAAUGAGGCUGCUGCCUUAUAAGGAGGCACUUUGAAGGCUAUUAUUCCAAGGAGCCUGCCACCUCCCCAAGCAUUUUUAGAACUCCUGCUUUGAAUCACUACCAGUGUCAAGAUGGUGAAUCCUCACACCUCCUGGGAGCAGUUAUUUUUGGAAACAAUGAAAGUCAGGAAAGUAUCCUUGGGAACAGAGGUGGUGCUGUGCAGAGGCGAGCCUUCAGGGUUUCAAGUGCUUGGACCUCGCCCAGCUCUGGCCGGGUGCCGGGAAUUGAGAUGGUGUCAGGUGACAAGAGGCCACCUUCCCCGCAGCUGGCCUCCUACUCAGGCUGUGAUGAAGGAGUCAGAAUACCUGCAACGGCCACACAACCACGAUGACCGCAGACUCCCCAGCAACCACAAUUGCAGCCACCACACUGUGGGGCCAUAUGACCAACAUCAGCAAUCGCUACGGUAAACUGCAGCAAGCACAUAAGCACACAACAGCAGUCGCAACCACACCAUCUGCACGACCACACAACACCCACACAAGCACCGCGACCUGCAGCAACCACUGCGUCAGUGGCCAUUUAUCAACUCUGUCUCAUGUUCCGACUUGAGACCCGGAAAGGGAGGUCUGCCAUGCCUCCCGAGACAGAUCAGCAGAGACCUGGGAGGCUUCUCGGACCUUUGGGUGGGAAUGAGCCGGUGGGAACUUGGAUCAGCCUCGCUUUCCGGUCUCUACUUGGCUUGUAAAGGCAGAACUACGUUAGGACGUCAGACACCUGCAGCGUUGUACUUUCAGGUGCGGUACAAGGGACGUACAAGCCUGCACCCACUGCGGAAGUUCUUCAAAGGACGACGCUGACCUUACCAGCGUGUGGUAAAACAAGGUAAAAGAGCCCCAAAGUCCCCUUCUGUGGCCCCUGUGGGUUGUGGUGGGGGUCCAAGGAGUGGAGAAUGGAGAGGGGUCUGGGGCUGCUCCAGUGUGCAACACUGUUGUGAAAGCUGGGGCUGAUUCUGGUCAAGGCUUGGUCUGGAUGCUGUGGGUUCCCCCGACCUCUGAUGCCGUGUGCCCAUCCAUCACCUGAGAUUCUUUUUAUUUUUUUAAUUUCAUUAAAAAAAUUUCUUUCUAGCGAAAUAACACAAUUUCAUCAUUCAGUGUGGCAUGUUGUGUUUUGACUCCUAUUGUUUCCUCUGAGUUAAUCGGCAAAGGGUAGCAGUUUGCUGGGGGAAUGACGCAAAUAUAUGGAAGCUUCAUGAAUUUGCACGAAUUGUACGGGGCCAGGCUAAUCUUCUCUGUAUUGUUCCAAUUUUAGUAUAUGGGCUGCCAAAGCGAGCACUAAUUUCAUUUUAUGUUUUUCAGCAUGUUAAGUGUACUCUUUAAUCCCCAUCCCCAGUCCCCGCCCCCAUCUCCCCUCUGGUAACCAACAGAGUGUUCUCUAUUAAGAGUCUGUUUCCUGGUUUGCUUUUUUCCCCUUUGCUUGUUUAUUUCGUUUUUUAAAUUCCACAUAUGAGUGAAAUCAUAUGGUAUUUGUCUUUCUCUGACUGACUUCACUCAGCAUUAUACUCUUUAGCUCCAUCCAUGCUGUUGCAAAUGGCAAGAUUUCAUUUAUUUUGAUAGCCGAAUAAUAUUCCAUUGACUAUGUACCAUAUCUUUAUCCAUUCUUUAGUUGGUGGACACUUGGGCUACUUCCAUAGUUUGGCUAUUGGAAACAAUGCUGCUGUAAACAUAGGGGUGCAGUUAUCCCUCUGAGUUAGUGUGUUUGUGUUUUUUGGGUAAACACCCAGUAGUGUGAUUCCUGGAUCAUAGGGUAGCUCUAUUUUUAAUUUUUUGAAGAAACUCCAUAUUGUGUUCCACAGCGGCUGCACCAACUUUCAUUCCCACCAACAGUGCAAGAGUGUUCCCUUUUUUCCACAUCCUCACCAACACUUGUUUCUUGUGUUUUUGAUUUUAGCCAUUCUGUCAGGUGUGAGGUGAUAUCUCAUUAGAGUUUUGAUUUGCAUUUUCCUGAUGACAGUGAUGUGUGGGGAAUAAGUUUAGGAAUUCCCUGAGUUAACAAGGCACAUAGGAAUGAAUAGGAAGCCUCAGGAUGAAAGCAUAAGAAUCAUUUAUCAAGACCUAGGUCGUCAGGGCAGAAGCACCCCUCACCUCCCCACUCCCCCACCCUCUUAGUAUAAUAGCAGAAAGCUGCUUUCACAGGAGGAAAGGACCAAAAUAGGUAAACAAGUAAAAGGGCUAUAGACCACAGGAGGGAGAAGUUGCCCAGAGCAGAGCUAAUUAGCAAAAGAAAGGUGCCUUGUUGACCCUGAGGUAGCAGGCACUAUCAAGUCUAUCCCCUAGGCAAGCUAAGAUAAACAGAUGAGGUGCCUUCUGCCUUCCAUAAACAACCAUAUCCUUGGUGCCUGGAUUUUGUUUUGUACUGACCCAAACCCCUAACACCCCAUAUCUUCAAAAUCCCCUUUCUCCCACCCACAUGAGUUAAUGUUCACGGUUUCAUUGUCUCUUUCUGCACGUUCAUCACAUUUGUAAGCCUUCUGAUCCUAAUAAAAACUGAGCAAGGACUCUUGUCUCCAGGGCUCUUGUCUCCUCCAGGACAUUAGCCUCUCUCGCAUUUUAAUCCUGCCUCCCCUCUCUUGCUGGACAAGAGAGAACUCCAGACCCAGAGUCUACGACGAUGUUGAACAUCUUUUCAUGUGUCUGUUGGCUCUCUGUAUGUCUUCUUUUGAGAAAUGUCUGUUCAUAUCUUCUGCCCAUUUUUUAAUUGGAUUAUUUGUUUGUUUUGUUCUUUUUUUGGUGUUGAGUUGUAUCAGUUCUUUGUAUGCUUUGGAUACUAACCUUUUAUUGAAUAUGCCAGUAUCCUCUCCCAAGCAGGAGGUUGCCUUUUAGUUUUGUUGAUUGUUUCCUUUGCUGCACAGAAGCUGUUUGUCUUGAUGAAGUCCCAAUACUUUAUUUUUGUUUUUAUUUCCCUUGACUCAGGAGACAUAUCUAGAAAAAUGUUGCUUUGGCUGAUGUCAGGGAAAUUACUGCCUAUGUACUCUUCAAGGAUUUUUAUGGUUUUGGUAUCACAUUUAGGUCUUUGAUCCAUUUUGAGUUUAUUUUGGUGUAUGGUGUAAGAAAGUGGUCCAGUUUCAUUCUUUUGUACGUUGCUGUCCAGUUUUCCCAUCACCAUUUGUUGAAGAGACUGUCUUUUUCCCAUUGUAUAUUCAUUCCUCAUUUGCCAAAGAUUAGUUGACUAUAUAAUUUUGGGGUUUAUUUCUGGGUUUUCUGUUCUAUUCAUUUGAUCUAUUUGUCUUUUUUUAUGCCAGUACCAUACUGUUUUAAUUACUAUUGCUUUGUAAUAUAACUUGAAAUCUGGAAUUGUGAUACCUUCAGUUUUGUUUUCAAGAUUGCUUUGGCUAUUUUGAGGUCUUUUGUGGCUCUAUACAAAUGUUAGGAUCAUUUGUUCUAGUUCUGUGAAAAAUGCUAUUGGUAUUUUGAUAGGGAUUACAUUAAAUCUGUAGAUUGCUUUGGGCAGUAUGGACAUUUUAACAAUAUUAGUUCUUUGCAUCUAUGAACAUGGAAUGUCUUUCCAUUUCUCUGAGUCGUAUUGAGUUUCUUUCAUCGGUGUUUUAUGGUUUUCAGACACCUCUUUGGUUAAGUUUAUUCCUAGGUAUUUUGUUGUUUUUGGUACAAUUGUAAAUGGAACUGUUUUCUUAAUUUCACUUUCUGCUGCUUCAUUACUCAUGUAUAGACCUGCAACAGAUUUCUGUACACUGAUUUGUAUCCUGAGACUUUGCUGAAUUCAUUUAUCAGUUCUAGUAGUUUUUUGGUGGAGCCUUUAGGGUUUCUUAUAUAUGAUAUGUCGUCUGCAAAUAAUGAGAAUUUGACUUCUUCCUUACCAGUUUGGAUGCUUUUUUUUUUUUUUUUUUAAUGUUGUCUGAUUGCUGUGGCUAGGACUUCCGGUACUAUGUUGAAUAAAAGUGGUGAAAAUGGACAUCCUUUCUUUUUCCUGACCUUAGGGGAAAAGCUCUCAGGUUUUCACCAUUGAGUAUGAUGUUGGCUGUGGGUUUUUCAUAAAAGGCCUUUAUUACAUUGAGGUAUGUUCCCUCUAGACCUACUUUGCAGAGAGUUUUUAUCAUGAAUGGAUGGUGUACUUUGUUGAGUGCUUUUUCUGCAUUUAUUGAAAUGAUCAUACGGUUUUUAUCAUUUCUCUUAUUGAUGUGACAUUAUCAUGUUGAUUGUUUUGUGAAUACUAAACCACCCUUGCAUCCUGGGAAUAAUCCCACUUGAUUGUGGUGUAUGGUUUUUAAAAAUAUAUUGUUGGAUUCAGUUUGCUAAUAUUUUGUUGAGGAUUUUUGCAUCUAUAUUCAUGAGAGAUAUUGGCCUGUAGUUCUCUUUUUUUGUGAUGUGUCUUUAUCUGUUUUUGGUAUCAGGCUGAUACUCACCUCACAGAAUGAAUUUGGAAGUCUUCCUUCCUCUUGUAUUUUUUUGAAUAGUUUGAGAAGAAUGGUUAUUAACUCUUCUUUAAAUGUUUGAUAGAAUUUGCCUGUGAGGCCAGCAGGUCCUGGGCUUUUGUUUGUUGGGAGUGUUUUUUGAUUACUGAUUCAAUUUCAUUGCUGGUGAUCAGUCUGUUCAAAUUUUCUUUUUCUUCCUGCUUUAGUUUUGGUAGGUUAUAUGUUUCUGGGAACUUAUACAUUUCUUGUAAGUUGUUCAAUUUGUUGGCAUGCAGGUUACAAUUGUUUUAUUUCUAUGGUAUUGGUUGUUAUCUCCUUUUUUUAUUAGUAAUUUUGUUUAUUUGGGUCCUCUCUCUUUCUCUCUCUCACAUCGAUUUUGUUGAUGUUUUCAAAGAAACAGAUCCUGAUUUCACUGAUCUGUUCUAUUGGUUUUUUUAGUUUCUGUAUCAUUUAUUUCUGUUCUAGUCUUUAUUAUUUACUUCUUUCUCCUGGUUUUGGGUUUUGUUUGUUCUUUUUUCUAGCUUCUUUAGGUGUCAGGUUAGGUGGUUUGAUAUUUGUCUUGCUUCUUGAGGUAUGCCUGCAUUGCCCCCGCUGCUUUCAUUUCGCUUCACCCUUUUGUUCUCCUGCCAUUGCCUCCUCACCUUCCAAGCUUGGCUUGGGAUGUGAACAACCUUCCCAACAGCCCCCGGAAGAGCUGGCUACUCCCCCAAUGUUCUGCCCCAGCCCCUGGUACACAGAGUUCUGUUAGCACAUAUCACACUGCAUUAUAAUGACCUGUUUAUAGGUGUACCUCCCUUACUAGACAGCCCAAGGAAAGGGAUCCUGUUUUUACAUUUACAUUAAUAUCAUGUUUUACAUUUAAAUGUCUCUUCCCUUGCAUAGCAGAACUUGGUUAUUACCAGCUAUCCCAAUUCUUGAUGAAUAAAUGAUUCAACCAGUUAGCCAAACUAGAAUUCCUCUGAAGUUCAUUAGUCUUUGCUAAUGGCGUCCCCCCUGUCUAAACCAAUUAUGACUCUUGGAUAGCCACAAAAUUGUCACAGGUGUUAAAAGAGAUUCUUGCAUCCAUGAUCUCUGUUUCUUCCUUGUGCAGUUGUUACAAAGAUUCUUCUACAUCAAGAGUAUUUUGUAAAGUUAUGCCAAGAUUCUGGGGACCACAAAUUGGGGAAGCCAUUCCAUUUGGGAUAUUAUCCUCAUUUUAUACAGAACAUUGAGUGUCUGCAGGUCAGGUCUCACGGCCAGUCAGGGAUGAUGAUGGCAUUGGGGGCUGGCCCUUCUGGCUCUGUAGCUCUUAUCAUCACACAGGGCUGGGCUGGGGUGGGGUCCAUGACCUCGGCCUCUUUUGCUGGCAAACAUUGUUCAGAAUAUGACUCAGCAUAUGAUUCCUCUGUGUGUGUGCACGUGUGUGUAUGUGCACGAGGGAGAGAAGUAGCAAAGGCUCAGCGAACUUCCUCUCCUUUGUGCACUGAGUGUGGAAAGUGCUCACUGCCACUGGGUGUUGCUAGCUGAGGUGGAGGAGGAUAGAAAACAAGAGAAGAAAAUCAGAGUGUGUCCAGCGUGAGAGAAGAAGCAGGGGGUGAAAGAUGAGAAGGAAAAGUACAGAAGAGGCCUAGGGACACCCAUCUAUACCCCUGCAUCCCUCUCUUGCCUCCACAUUCCCCCUGAAACAAGCUGAAGGACGUGGCACUGUCCUGGCUGCUGUGACAAUGGUUCUAAGCCUGCCCAGCUUGGUUCAGCCUUAGCAGGAAGAAGCAGGUGUAAGCCGGGGCCUGCAGCUACCUGGGGCUGUGGGAAAGCCUGGGGUGAAGGGGUACCACUUGGUCAGGAGCCCCUGAAGCUGGGGUUGGGGAGAGGCUCAGGAGGGUGGGUAGGAGGCCUCUAUUACAGACCCAGCAGCGGACAGAUGUCAAUGCAAAAGGGCUGAGGAGCAGGUCUGCCCUUCCUGCCUGCGGUAGGCUGAAUAAUGGUCCCCCAAAACGCCCACGUCCUAACCCCCGGAACCUGUGAAGGUUACCGCACAUGGCAAAGGAGACUUUACAGAUGGCAUUUAGUUAAGACUCUUGAGAUGGGGAGAUUAGCCUGGAGGAUCCAGGUGGGCCCCUAAGUAGCUGCAAGGUUCUCGAAGCACAUGGUGGGGCAGAAGCAGCUUCCUUCAUCUGAUGCAAAUGUACUGAACACCUAGUACAUGAGGCGGCUCUGGGGGCCUGGGAUGCAGCAGUGAAAACACAACACAAGGUUCCUGCCCUCGUGGUGUUCACAGUCCAGUGGAGGAAGACCGGGAGACAAGAGGCAAGGACCUGUAUAUCAGAGGUUGGUAAGUGCUGGGGAGACAAUUAGCAAGGUGAGGGCGAGGGAAGUGCUGGGGAAGGGAUAAGGUGGUCAGGGAAGGCCUGAGAAGAUACAGUUUGGGCCACAGAGAUCUCUGAAGGAAGCAGAACAUUCCAGGCAGGAAGAAUAGCAGGACACAGGCUUGGGGCAGGACACUUUCCAGGACAGCAAGGAGCCCAGGGAGGCUGGCGUGGGCUGAGUGGUGGGGCAGUGAUAGGAGGUGAGUGUGUGUGGAGGCAGAGGGUGGAUGGCGUGGGGCCUCGUGGACUUUAGGCCACUUGCCAAGGGAGCCCUGGGAGGGUUUUGAGAGGAGGAGUGAACUGGUCUGAGUGUUAAAAGGAUCUCUCUAGGAGACCCAGAUACCCCCUUUAUCUGUUUGGCAGCCGCACCUGCUAAACUGUAGUCCCUCAGCUAAAUCAGGGGAAAGACAAAGAAACCAGUCUUUGUGGCUCCAUCCUUGGUCCUCUUACCCCACUUCUCAUUAGUGGAACCACCUGUCUGUGCAUGGCAUAUGCAUGGUCCUCUCCCCUCUUCUUUUGCAGGGCGGUUCCCUGCCCGCCUCCUACCUCAUCAGUCAUUUACACUUUAGUGAGAUCAAGGAUGUGUAUCCCAUUACUGUCUCUAAGGUUAUGAGUUGAAUUGUGGCACCCAAAAGAUAUAUUGAAGGCCUAAUUUUCCAGUACCUCAGAAUGUGACCUUAUUUGGAAAUAAAGUCAUUGCAGAUGUAAUUUAGUUCAGAUAAGGUCAUACUAGAGUAGGGAGCACUCUUGGUGCAAUAUGAUUGGUGUCCUUGUAAGAGAGGGACGCCGAGGAUUGCUGGAAAGCCCUCACAGCUAGGAAGAGGCAAGGGAAGAUCCUCCCCUAGAGAACUCAGAGGGAGUAUGACCCUGCCAGCACCCUGAUUUCAGACGUCCGGCCUCCGGAACUGUGAGAGAACAAAUUUCUGUUGCUUUAAGCCACCCAGGUUGUGGCACUUGGUUAUGGCAACCUGAGGAAGCCAAUGCCAGGGAUAUUAUCUUUCUUAGAGACAUUCUUCUAAUUGCGAUGCUCUGUUUUGGGGGCAUCCUGGAGCUGCAUGAGAAUUCAGAAGGGUCUAUUUCUCUCCACGGCCAGGGUCUGUUCACAGGUCAGGGACACAGAGUGAUCAAAACAGAGUGCCCUUCAAACAAACACUUGCAUGCAAAUAUUCAUUGUAGCAUCACUUAAAAUAGUGGAAGGUACAAACGACCCAAAUGUCCAUCAGCUGACCAACGGCUAAAGAAAACGCGGCAUAUCCAUACGUGGAGUAGUAUCCAGCCAUAAAAGAAACAGAAUAGUGCUUUGAUCUACAACACGCGUGGGCCUCGAAAACAUUAUG
This is a long non-coding RNA of Acinonyx jubatus (cheetah), 11193 nucleotides long. RefSeq lists it as uncharacterized. The transcript is spliced from 7 exons. NCBI's taxonomy places the organism in Eukaryota, Metazoa, Chordata, Mammalia, Carnivora, Felidae. The record is from RefSeq and is a predicted model, not a curated record.